This 71-nucleotide transfer RNA is filed under the name Capra hircus (goat). It matches the Rfam family "tRNA". From Rfam's summary of the family: Transfer RNA (tRNA) molecules are approximately 80 nucleotides in length. The record is from Rfam by way of RNAcentral. RNAcentral also lists the same sequence under 1 other name. Lineage: Eukaryota; Metazoa; Chordata; Mammalia; Artiodactyla; Bovidae.
UCUCCAGUGGCUCAGUGGUAAAGAAUCUGCCUGCAAUGCAGGAGACCCGGGUUUGAUCCCUGGGUUGGGAA